RNAcentral lists this long non-coding RNA (339 nucleotides) under Mytilus galloprovincialis (Mediterranean mussel). The record is from RNAcentral. Lineage: Eukaryota; Metazoa; Mollusca; Bivalvia; Mytilida; Mytilidae.
CCUUAUUCAGUGCUUUUGAAGGAAGUCCAGUGACAAGUACCAUUUUUUAUGUGUUUUAAGUAAGGUUUUGAUACAUGUAGGAAUAACGGAUUCAGUUUCAUUUCGAAUCGGAGAUAUUGUAAAAACCAACAUGCAAUGAAUACAGCAGCCACAAGAAUGAAAAACUUUGCCGCCUAUCCAUGUAUACAAGGGUGUUACAUAAAAUAGCCUGAAAUAUCAUAUAAUAAUAUCGGAAUGUUUACAUCUGACGGCGUUACAUUUAUUUGAUUUGGGCAAUUGUUUUUCUUAUUUCAUUACAGGGUAAUUUUAAAAUAAAUACAUGUAUGGUCAUUUAAAAGU